Molecule: non-coding RNA, 28 nt
Filed under: Mus musculus (house mouse)
Lineage: Eukaryota; Metazoa; Chordata; Mammalia; Rodentia; Muridae
Source: RNAcentral
UGUGAAGUGUGCUUGCGGACCUUUGCUC